ACAAGUAAAGCCAAACUAUAGAGGCGGGUUUCUGUUACAGACCAAAUUAAGCAAUAUUUUACUUUUC
RNAcentral lists this transfer RNA (67 nucleotides) under Mongoloniscus sinensis. Its description in RNAcentral is "tRNA-Asn". Lineage: Eukaryota; Metazoa; Arthropoda; Malacostraca; Isopoda; Agnaridae. The record is from RNAcentral.